Non-coding RNA from Aedes albopictus (Asian tiger mosquito), 74 nucleotides. The record is from Rfam. NCBI's taxonomy places the organism in Eukaryota, Metazoa, Arthropoda, Insecta, Diptera, Culicidae.
GGUUCUGUGGCUUAGUUGGUUAAAGCGCCGGUCUAGCGAAUACGGAGUCGUGGGUUCGAAUCCCACUAGUACGC